RNAcentral lists this microRNA (21 nucleotides) under Anopheles gambiae (African malaria mosquito). Its description in RNAcentral is "aga-miR-998-5p". Its record names the gene aga-miR-998-5p. The record is from miRBase by way of RNAcentral. Lineage: Eukaryota; Metazoa; Arthropoda; Insecta; Diptera; Culicidae.
GCUGAACUCUCGUGGGUCUGC